GCACAGUUUUGGAUUUAUGGCACGCUUGUCCUCCCCCCCCCCGGGUAUCUCAUAAUGUCCCACGCUGGACCAAACUGGCUCCUAACCAUUGCCCGGCCUCUGUACCUAUAGGCUGUUGGCACUGAAGCAGGUCACACAGUG
Small nucleolar RNA from Phodopus roborovskii (desert hamster), 141 nucleotides. RefSeq annotates it as small nucleolar RNA SNORA42/SNORA80 family. NCBI's taxonomy places the organism in Eukaryota, Metazoa, Chordata, Mammalia, Rodentia, Cricetidae. The record is from RefSeq and is a predicted model, not a curated record. The transcript has a single exon.